RNAcentral lists this ribosomal RNA (449 nucleotides) under uncultured bacterium. RNAcentral describes it as "partial 16S ribosomal RNA". It matches the Rfam family "Bacterial small subunit ribosomal RNA", at positions 29 to 523 of the family's 1533-position model. The record is from RNAcentral.
AAUGAACGCUGGCGGCAGGCCUAAAACAUGCAAGUCGAACGCUGUAGCAAUACAGAGUGGCGCACGGGUGAGUAAUACAUGGGAAUAUGCCUUUUAGUACGGAACAACGUUUGGAAACGAACGCUAAUGCCGUAUGGUCCCUUCGGGGUAAAGAUUUAUCGCUAAAAGAGUAGCCCUUGUUGGAUUAGCUAGUUGGUGAGGUAAUGGCUCACCAAGGCGACGAUCCAUAGCUGGUCUGAGAGGACGAUCAGCCACACUGGGACUGAGACACGGCCAAGACUCCUACGGGAGGCAGCAGUUAGGAAUAUUGGACAAUGGAGGAAACUCUGAUCCAGCCAUGCCGCGUGAGUGAUGAAGGCCUUCGGGUUGUAAAGCUCUUUAGCCGACGAAUAUAAUGACUGUAGUCGGAGAAUAAGCCCCGGCUAACUUCGUGCCAGCAGCCGCCGUAA